AUUGAACGCUGGCGGCAGGCUUAACACAUGCAAGUCGAGCGGAGUGAUGGUGCUUGCACUAUCACUUAGCGGCGGACGGGUGGGUAAUGCUUAGGAAUCUGCCUAUUAGUGGGGGACAGCAUCUCGAAAGGGAUGCUAAUACCGCAUACGUCCUACGGGAGAAAGCAGGGGAUCACUUGUGACCUUGCGCUAAUAGAUGAGCCUAAGUCGGAUUAGCUAGUUGGUGGGGUAAAGGCCUACCAAGGCGACGAUCUGUAGCGGGUCUGAGAGGAUGAUCCGCCACACUGGGACUGAGACACGGCCCAGACUCCUACGGGAGGCAGCAGUGGGGAAUAUUGGACAAUGGGGGGAACCCUGAUCCAGCCAUGCCGCGUGUGUGAAGAAGGCCUUAUGGUUGUAAAGCACUUUAAGCGAGGAGGAGGCUCUUUUGGUUAAUACCCAAGAUGAGUGGACGUUACUCGCAGAAUAAGCACCGGCUAACUCUGUGCCAGCAGCCGCCGCCG
RNAcentral lists this ribosomal RNA (503 nucleotides) under uncultured bacterium. RNAcentral's name for it is "partial 16S ribosomal RNA". It matches the Rfam family "Bacterial small subunit ribosomal RNA", at positions 30 to 523 of the family's 1533-position model. The record is from RNAcentral.